This 466-nucleotide ribosomal RNA is filed under the name uncultured bacterium. RNAcentral's name for it is "partial 16S ribosomal RNA". It matches the Rfam family "Bacterial small subunit ribosomal RNA", at positions 28 to 507 of the family's 1533-position model. The record is from RNAcentral.
GAUGAACGCUGGCGGCGUGCUUAACACAUGCAAGUCGAACGGAAAGGCUCCUGCUUGCAGGGGUACUCGAGUGGCGAACGGGUGAGUAACACGUGGGUGAUCUGCCCUGCACUUCGGGAUAAGCUUGGGAAACUGGGUCUAAUACCGGAUAGGACCGCAUUUUGGAUGGUGUGGUGGAAAGUUUUUUCGGUGUGGGAUGAGCUCGCGGCCUAUCAGCUUGUUGGUGGGGUAAUGGCCUACCAAGGCGUCGACGGGUAGCCGGCCUGAGAGGGUGUACGGCCACAUUGGGACUGAGAUACGGCCCAGACUCCUACGGGAGGUAGCAGUGGGGAAUAUUGCACAAUGGGCGCAAGCCUGAUGCAGCGACGCCGCGUGGGGGAUGACGGCCUUCGGGUUGUAAACUCCUUUCGCUAGGGACGAAGAGUAAUUGACGGUACCUGGAGAAGAAGCACCGGCUAACUACGUG